CCCUUAGAUGUUCUGGGCCGCACGCGCGCUACACUGAUGCAUUCAACGAGUCCAACCUUGACCGAGAGGUCCGGGUAAUCUUUGAAACUGCAUCGUGAUGGGGCUAGAUUAUUGCAAUUAUUAAUCUUCAACGAGGAAUGCCUAGUAAGCGUGAUUCAUCAAAUCGCGUUGAUUACGUCCCUGCCCUUUGUACACACCGCCCGUCGCUCCUACCGAUUGAAUGGUCCGGUGAAGCGCUCGGACCGCGGCCUCUUGACGGUUUUCUGUCGAUUGGCUGUGGGAAGUUCGUUAAACCUUAUCAUUUAGAGGAAGGAGAAGUCGUAACA
RNAcentral lists this ribosomal RNA (326 nucleotides) under uncultured eukaryote. RNAcentral describes it as "partial 18S ribosomal RNA". It matches the Rfam family "Eukaryotic small subunit ribosomal RNA", at positions 1470 to 1796 of the family's 1831-position model. The record is from RNAcentral.